UCCUUAAUAGGUUGGCCAUCAUUUACACUAAAAUCGUCCACAUUUGUCCAUUAGUACAAAAGAGCAUUAGAACAGCCUCCAUGUUAAGGAGACCUGGAAUCUAAGACAGGAAGCUGGGAAUUCCCUCUACGUUUAUCAUGGAGAAGUUCAAAAUUCCACGAAAUGCUGCUGUUGGGAGGGCACACUGUUGCUGAAUAGUAAAGCAGAGUUGUUACAUAGCAAAUUCAAGCAAGAGGAAAAACUAACAUGCAGAAUGAGGACAAGAGUUUUGAUAUAAAAGUUCAUGGAUUGCGAAUGAAAGCACUCAAAUAACAGAAUAAAAAAAAACAGGUUUGCUGGACAGUGAAGAAGGGGCAGAAUAUGCACUCAUGAAUGUGGAUUAUGAUUCAGCAUCUGGGCCUAAGUCUUUGAAGACAUGGAAAAAAUGUUGGAUCAGUGACCAUCCAUUUCCAGAUGUCAAGGGAAAUGUAUAUUUAGAUGGCAUGACACCCCAGUCCUGGAGCAUAUAUCACAUGGAGUCAGGCCCACUGGGGCUUUUGGAAAGAAAUGGAGAUCAUAUGAAAAAGUCAGAGUCAUCGUUAAAACUCAUGGCAUGUUACAACCCUUCAAGUUCUCAAAACACUACCACCCGAGAGCAGGAGAAAAACAAGUGCAUGAGGAGUCUGGAGUUCAACUUCUUUGUGCUGCUGACUUGCGUGGCAUCAAGACUUGGUUCUGCUAGAACUGAUCACAUAUCAAACAGCUUCAAAAAGCUGCAAAUUAUGCUCUAAAAACCAUGAGAGGUUGAGCAUCUGUCAGGGGGCACACAGCGCAUCUUUGCCAAAUGAGGAGUGGCCUUCAUCCACUCACAAUAUGUUUAUUUGCAACUCUGUGGAUUGCACUCAAUACUGUGUAAAGGUAAAUGAGAGUUAUCUGCAAUGCCU
Molecule: long non-coding RNA, 923 nt
Filed under: Cairina moschata (Muscovy duck)
Lineage: Eukaryota; Metazoa; Chordata; Aves; Anseriformes; Anatidae
Description: domestica (muscovy Duck (domestic type)) lncRNA (ENSCMMG00000006542.1)
Source: RNAcentral